GGCCCCUUUCUCUUGGAAACCUAAGCAGUCAAGAACAGGACAUUGGGACAGUGACACAGGAAGGGAGAAGAGAACUGACAUGGAGCAUCUGGUGGCUUCUUCUAGCAAACUGGCCUCUGAGCAGGCAGCUGAUAUCAAAGAAGGAACCCUUGGACGCCCACCCACUGCUGUCUGACCCCUUUGCGUUGAGUCCGACGGCUCCGUUCCCCUGCCAAGGCGUCUCCAAAGGGCGCUGGCACGUUGCCGCCUGUGAUGCCUCCUCAGGAUGCUAAUCAUGAUGUGCAGCAAGUCCCACAAAGUACAUGGAGUGCCCCGUCUUAUUUUUUUGGGAAGAGGGAUGUGGAAACAUGUGUACUUGGCAGCCACAAGGAUCAGAGCGGGAAAAGAGAUGAGAUGAAACAGAACCGAAAUUGUGUUGAUCUACAAACUUUGGAGAUGAUGGGAAGCUCUUACAUGGGCCAGAGCCCAGGCAAAGCCCUACAUGUUGUACGGGACACGCUGCGUACUCACUGCUGA
Molecule: long non-coding RNA, 516 nt
Filed under: Struthio camelus australis
Lineage: Eukaryota; Metazoa; Chordata; Aves; Struthioniformes; Struthionidae
Description: lncRNA (ENSSCUG00000000544.1)
Source: RNAcentral